This 551-nucleotide ribosomal RNA is filed under the name Geophagus grammepareius. Its description in RNAcentral is "partial 16S ribosomal RNA". It matches the Rfam family "Bacterial large subunit ribosomal RNA", at positions 1845 to 2589 of the family's 2925-position model. Lineage: Eukaryota; Metazoa; Chordata; Actinopteri; Cichliformes; Cichlidae. The record is from RNAcentral.
AUAAGAGGUCCCGCCUGCCCUGUGACUAUAAGUUUAACGGCCGCGGUAUUUUGACCGUGCAAAGGUAGCGCAAUCACUUGUCUUUUAAAUGAAGACCUGUAUGAAUGGCAUCACGAGGGCUUAACUGUCUCCCUUUUCCUGUCAAUGAAAUUGAUCUUCCCGUGCAGAAGCGGGAAUAAACCCAUAAGACGAGAAGACCCUAUGGAGCUUUAGGCUCCAGAGCAGCCUAUGUCAAACAUCCUAAAACAAAAGACAAAAACUUAUUAGCUUCUGCUCUACAUGCCUUUGGUUGGGGCGACCGCGGGGAAACAAAUACCCCCCACGUGGAUUAGGAGGACACUUCUUCCAAAACCCAGGACUACACUCCCAAGUAACAGAACAUCUGACCAAUAUAUGAUCCGGCACAACCGAUCAACGAACCCAGUUACCCUAGGGAUAACAGCGCAAUCCCCUUCUAGAGCCCAUAUCGACAAGGGGGUUUACGACCUCGAUGUUGGAUCAGGACAUCCUAUUGGUGCAGCCGCUAUUAAGGGUUCGUUUGUUCAACGAUU